This 100-nucleotide small nuclear RNA is filed under the name Xenopus tropicalis (tropical clawed frog). RNAcentral describes it as "U2 spliceosomal RNA (ENSXETG00000048264.1)". It matches the Rfam family "U2 spliceosomal RNA". Rfam says of the family: U2 is a small nuclear RNA (snRNA) component of the spliceosome (involved in pre-mRNA splicing). Complementary binding between U2 snRNA (in an area lying towards the 5' end but 3' to hairpin I) and the branchpoint sequence (BPS) of the intron results the bulging out of an unpaired adenosine, on the BPS, which initiates a nucleophilic attack at the intronic 5' splice site, thus starting the first of two transesterification reactions that mediate splicing. The record is from Rfam by way of RNAcentral. Lineage: Eukaryota; Metazoa; Chordata; Amphibia; Anura; Pipidae.
CCCGCUUCUCGGCCUUUUGGCUAAGAUCAAGUGUAGUAUCUGUUCCUGGGGGGGGGGGGGUUGGCACCCUAGCUAAGGGCUGUCAAUACCGGGACCCUCC